This 301-nucleotide ribosomal RNA is filed under the name uncultured bacterium. RNAcentral describes it as "partial 16S ribosomal RNA". It matches the Rfam family "Bacterial small subunit ribosomal RNA", at positions 509 to 807 of the family's 1533-position model. The record is from RNAcentral.
CAGCCGCCGCGGUAAUACAGAGGGUGCAAGCGUUAAUCGGAUUUACUGGGCGUAAAGGGCGCGUAGGUGGUUAUUUAAGUGAGAUGUGAAAGCCCCGGGCUUAACCUGGGAACUGCAUCUUAUACUGGGUAACUGGAGUGCAGUAGAGGGUAGUGGAAUUUCCGGUGUAGCGGUGAAAUGCGUAGAUAUAGGAAGGAACACCAGUGGCGAAGGCGACCACCUGGACUAAUACUGACACUGAGGUGCGAAAGCGUGGGGAGCAAAUAGGAUUAGAUACCCCUGUAGUCCCUGUCUCUUAUAC